Molecule: long non-coding RNA, 2375 nt
Organism: Artibeus jamaicensis (Jamaican fruit-eating bat)
Lineage: Eukaryota; Metazoa; Chordata; Mammalia; Chiroptera; Phyllostomidae
Exons: 3
Source: RefSeq, a predicted model, not a curated record
GGGCAGGAGGAGGUGUAGGUGGUGCUUGCUAAUUGGGGCCGAGUGAUUUAGGCUCGCGCUCUAGUCUUGUUAGGAUUGGCUCACUACAUCUCUAGGCUUGUUGGCGAUGGGUGCAAAGGGAGUGGGAUGCUGGUAUUCUGUGUAGGGUUGCGGCAACUAGUUUUACUGUGGGGCCCAGAAUUGAGUUCAAAUUCUCAAGCUCGGGGAAACAAGACGUUGAUUUUUGUUUCUGGGUGGCGUUGGAGGCACAGUGAAUGCCCUUUCAUUGGCUAGAUAAUUUGAAGUCGCAUUAACAAAGUCUGUGUAAAGGCGUAUUGAGAAUACCGGAAAGUUAGAACUGCACUUAGAACUUCAUAAAGAAAAUCGACUGAUGAAAUUGUCCUAAAGAUGAAGCAGUGUGCGAUUUGUGUUUUCCUGGGAUCACAGGCCCAAAGGCGAUGUCCUGCAGGAUUUGGGUGUCACAAGUUGUAAAGAUGUUGCUUUCCUUCUGAACUAAUGCCCAAACUUUGGAAGAAUUAGCUGAGUGCUCCUUCAAAGUGCAGAAUUUGGUCCUCACCCCUGCAAUUCUGGUUUAACAAUUGUUAAGAAAAACUUUUUUUUAAAAAUUGAUUUGAGAGAGAGAGGAAGGGAGAAGAGAGAGAGAUUGAGAUUUAUUGUUCUACCCAUUUAGACAUUCAUUCAUUGAUUGAUUCCUGUAUGUGCCCUGACUGGGGACUGAACCUGCACCCUUGGUGCAUUGGGACUGUGCUCUCACCACAUGAGCUACCUACACAAGACCUGACUUAAUAGUUCUUGUAUGGGAUCUGGAAAUCUAUAAUUUUCACCAGGAGCCCAGGUGAUUUUUCAAUUAGCUUAUGCAGGAAUCAGAGUUUUAAGAAAGGUUCUCUAGCCGGGUAAUUCCAGUUGCUUCAUCUCCCCAACACGUGAUCACAAUUAUCAUUAACAAAAUGUGUUGUUGCUCUCUGUCACCUUCUGUAGUAGGUAGCUCAGGCUGCCAUAACGAAGGCCCACAAACUGGGUGGUUUACACAACAGAAUUUACCCCCUCAUAGUUCUGGUGGCUGGAAGUCAUUGGCAGGGGUGCUUCUUCCUCUGAACUAGUUGCAAGCAGGGCAGUGGCCUAGGCUUCGGGCUUCUGGUAAUGGCAGCUAGAUAACUGGGACUGCCUCUCCUAAAAAAGCAAGACAAAAAUGUUAUCUGUUCAGGAUCUCAGAGAGCUAAGAGGGCAUUCAAGAGCUGGGAGAAAGAAACCAAGAGCAGCGAGCUUGGUUUGAGGGCUUCUCUCUAGAGGCACCUCCUGUUUCUGCAACAGGGACCAAGGGGACUCUGGGCGUAGGUAACACUCCGCUUCUCGACCUUCCGCUGUCUCCACAGUGUUUACUUUGUGGUGAUUCUUUGAGAUGGACACUUAUGAUCUGAAUGCCUCUAUGUUUUAUGCCUCAAAAAAAAAGAGAAGUCAUUUAAAGAAGACUUGGCAAUGAACAGACUAGCAUUUGAGGUCCAGGUCUGCUAUUUAGAAAUGUGACCUCAUGAAAAGUUCAUUUUUUUUUUCAAAACUCAGUAUCUUUAUACUGAGUGUAGAGUGUAAGUCUAUUUCAUAGGAUUGUCCUGAGAUAUAAAUGAGAAUGUUUCAAGUGCCUGGAAGCAAGUAGGCUCCCAGAUAACAACAGCAGUAAUAAAGUAUUGCCAUUUAUGAAGAAACUAUAAUGUGCCAGGCAUUGUACUAAGUAAGCUCUUAUGCCUCAGCCUGUGCAGUCUGUGCCAUGACACAGACAGGAUUGUUACAGAAAACACUCCCCGUGUCCCUGGGGGUCUUGUUACUCUAUAGAUCUUUUUGCCCACUGUUGUGGCUCUCAGUGCCAGAGUUUGGUAAAAAGGAAAGGAACUAUUUAUUCCAAAGUUACACUCGUUCAGAAUAAUGGUGAAUGUCGCAGUUAAAUCCCAAAGUCCCUUUAAAAAAACACCCACAAACUCACACCCACAUACAAUCCUUCCUUCCUUUGCCAAACCAGGCCAGUCAGGAGUACCAUCUCCCAGAAAAAGAAAUAGAAGCCUGUAGCUCAGUGAGGCCCCUAUUCUUAAUCCAAAAUCAUGCGGCACUGAUAGGAGAAGCCCUGGGAGACCUUUGCUCACCCAAGACCCCAGGCGCCAUAGGAGAACAAUAAGACCGUCUGGGAAGAGCAAAUAAAGCAAAUAGCCGGAUAGUCACUAGGACUAGGGCUAGCACCCCCGCAGGUAGAACCAAUUUUCACAUUUAGCCUUUGAACUCUGCUUCUGCCCCGUAGAUAGAACUAAUUACCGCAUUCUGCUUCUGUUUCCUGCUUUGCCACGUAGAUAGGAAGACCCCUAAUCUAUAUAUUCCCCAAGAAUCUUUUG